RNAcentral lists this long non-coding RNA (1795 nucleotides) under Mus musculus (house mouse). Its description in RNAcentral is "RIKEN cDNA A230072C01 gene (A230072C01Rik)". The record is from RNAcentral. Lineage: Eukaryota; Metazoa; Chordata; Mammalia; Rodentia; Muridae.
UCACUGCAAGUCUCGCUGCAGUACGUCACUGAUAAAGCCACUCAACGUUGGGGAUGACUUCUUUCGGCUCGAGCUACGGAGUUGCUUCUGCCCAACCCGAUUUUGGAACUCGUUCACUCACCGGUACAGGAGUACGGCGUUUACCGUAGGGCCACCGGCAAUAACUGCCAGAAGAAGUUGUGGGAUUCCCUGGAACUGGAGCAACCAACAGUUUGUGUGCACCAUGUGGGUAAUGGGAAUCGAACCUGGGUCCUCUAUAAGACUGGCCAGUGCUCUUAACUACUGAGGUGCAUUUCUUUCGGAAUUGAUUCACAUAACUAUUAUGCUAUACUGUUUGAAGUAUUUAUUAGAAAAACAUCAGAAAGAGAUUUGGACCACUUUCAUUUACAUGAAGAAAUAUCUUAGGGUUUCUUUUCAGGUAUCUUUGAGUAUCUUCUGACACUAGAAGAUCCUGUAAACUCUACAGACUUCAACAGAAUUGAAGAACCUGGACAGAGCAGAGUUACCAACAAGAGAGCCCAGGGAUAGCAUUAACAUGGUGGUUACUCAAGACCUAACUCAGCCAGGGAGACAUACCAAGGCCUAUGAGGUGAAGGGAAAAGAAGGGUGACCCAAAGGGCAGGAAUUUUUUAUCCUGAACUUUUGAGCCUUAUAGAAAAACAUAAUUUGUUGGGCAUGUUUUCUGACCCUCAUACAGUUUUUACAACCAUUUGAAGAUAUAGUUCUAGCUCUAGUAGGCUCUACAGGAAGGUAUAUCAAACUUUUUAACAGAACACUUUAUUAUUUUAAAUAUAUGAGUAUUUCACCUGCAUAGGCGCACAGUACCCACAGAGACUAGAAGAGGGUGGCAGAUCUCCUGAGACUGGAGUUAAUGCUUGUGAGCUGCCAUGUGGAUGCUGGAAAUCAAACCCAGGUCCUUUGGAAGGCAGGCAGGUGCUCUUAAUCAUGGAAGCAUCUCUUCAGCUCCUACCCUAGUUCUUUAAUUUUGUUUUAAAUUUUUGAGGUAGGGUUUUGCUAAGUUACUUGGGCUGGCCUUGGACUAGUAACCAUUCUGUGUCAGCCUUCUGGGAUUAGAGGUAUGUGCUAGCAUGUCUAGCAUCUUUCUAUUUCUUUGGUUUUCCUUCUAAUUAAUUAAAAAAUACAUUAUCUUCUAAAUCUUUUAUUGUACAUCAUGAAUGCUAUUUCAGUUUUUGUUUAAAUAAGCUUAAAUGUAAACAUCACUAUAAGUACACCACUAUUUCUAUUGUGCAGUUUCAGUGAUACAAUAUCUUAUCACUUACAGAGUAUUAGUAAUAGUUUAAUUUAAAAAAAAUCAUUUAUUGUUGUUUUUUGUCUCACCCCCCUCCCCUCCCCCAAUCUCUGGAGCUGAGGACCAAACCCAGGGCCUUGUGCUUGCUAAGCAAAUGCUCUACCGCUGAGCUAAAUCUCCAACCCCUAGUUUAAUUUUGUUUUAGAAAGACUCUUACUUAAUGUACUUGCUGUGUGUGAUGGUUUGUAUAUUCUUGGACCAGGGAGUGGCAACAUUUGGAGGUGUGGCCUUGUUGGAAUAGGUGUGACCUGGUUGGAGUAGGUGUGUCACUGUGGGUGUGGGUAUGAGACCCUCACCCUAGUUGCCUGGAAGUCAGUCUUCCACUAGCAGCCUUUGGAUGAAGACAUAGAACUCUCAGCUCUUCCUGUGCCAUGCCUGCCUGGAUACUGCCAUGCUCCCACCGUGAUGGUAAUGGACUGAACCUCUGAACCUGUAAGCCAGCCCCAAUUAAAUGUUGUUUUUUAUAAGAAAAAAAAAAAAAAAAAA